GUUAAGCGACUAAGCGUACACGGUGGAUGCCCUGGCAGUCAGAGGCGAUGAAGGACGUGCUAAUCUGCGAUAAGCGUCGGUAAGGUGAUAUGAACCGUUAUAACCGGCGAUUUCCGAAUGGGGAAACCCAGUGUGAUUCGUCACACUAUCAUUAACUGAAUCCAUAGGUUAAUGAGGCGAACCGGGGGAACUGAAACAUCUAAGUACCCCGAGGAAAAGAAAUCAACCGAGAUUCCCCCAGUAGCGGCGAGCGAACGGGGAGGAGCCCAGAGCCUGAAUCAGUGUGUGUGUUAGUGGAAGCGUCUGGAAAGGCGCGCGAUACAGGGUGACAGCCCCGUACACAAAAAUGCACAUGCUGUGAGCUCGAUGAGUAGGGCGGGACACGUGGUAUCCUGUCUGAAUAUGGGGGGACCAUCCUCCAAGGCUAAAUACUCCUGACUGACCGAUAGUGAACCAGUACCGUGAGGGAAAGGCGAAAAGAACCCCGGCGAGGGGAGUGAAAAAGAACCUGAAACCGUGUACGUACAAGCAGUGGGAGCACAGAGCAAUCUGUGUGACUGCGUACCUUUUGUAUAAUGGGUCAGCGACUUAUAUUCUGUAGCAAGGUUAACCGAAUAGGGGAGCCGAAGGGAAACCGAGUCUUAACUGGGCGUUAAGUUGCAGGGUAUAGACCCGAAACCCGGUGAUCUAGCCAUGGGCAGGUUGAAGGUUGGGUAACACUAACUGGAGGACCGAACCGACUAAUGUUGAAAAAUUAGCGGAUGACUUGUGGCUGGGGGUGAAAGGCCAAUCAAACCGGGAGAUAGCUGGUUCUCCCCGAAAGCUAUUUAGGUAGCGCCUCGUGAAUUCAUCUCCGGGGGUAGAGCACUGUUUCGGCAAGGGGGUCAUCCCGACUUACCAACCCGAUGCAAACUGCGAAUACCGGAGAAUGUUAUCACGGGAGACACACGGCGGGUGCUAACGUCCGUCGUGAAGAGGGAAACAACCCAGACCGCCAGCUAAGGUCCCAAAGUCAUGGUUAAGUGGGAAACGAUGUGGGAAGGCCCAGACAGCCAGGAUGUUGGCUUAGAAGCAGCCAUCAUUUAAAGAAAGCGUAAUAGCUCACUGGUCGAGUCGGCCUGCGCGGAAGAUGUAACGGGGCUAAACCAUG
Molecule: ribosomal RNA, 1150 nt
Filed under: Escherichia coli
Lineage: Bacteria; Pseudomonadati; Pseudomonadota; Gammaproteobacteria; Enterobacterales; Enterobacteriaceae
Description: partial 23S ribosomal RNA
Rfam family: Bacterial large subunit ribosomal RNA
Source: RNAcentral